RNAcentral lists this ribosomal RNA (744 nucleotides) under uncultured bacterium. RNAcentral describes it as "bacterial SSU rRNA". It matches the Rfam family "Bacterial small subunit ribosomal RNA", at positions 34 to 773 of the family's 1533-position model. The record is from RNAcentral.
CGCUGGCGGCAGGCCUAACACAUGCAAGUCGAGCGGUAGAGAGAAGCUUGCUUCUCUUGAGAGCGGCGGACGGGUGAGUAAUGCCUAGGAAUCUGCCUGGUAGUGGGGGAUAACGUUCGGAAACGGACGCUAAUACCGCAUACGUCCUACGGGAGAAAGCAGGGGACCUUCGGGCCUUGCGCUAUCAGAUGAGCCUAGGUCGGAUUAGCUAGUUGGUGGGGUAAUGGCUCACCAAGGCGACGAUCCGUAACUGGUCUGAGAGGAUGAUCAGUCACACUGGAACUGAGACACGGUCCAGACUCCUACGGGAGGCAGCAGUGGGGAAUAUUGGACAAUGGGCGAAAGCCUGAUCCAGCCAUGCCGCGUGUGUGAAGAAGGUCUUCGGAUUGUAAAGCACUUUAAGUUGGGAGGAAGGGCAGUAAAUUAAUACUUUGCUGUUUUGACGUUACCGACAGAAUAAGCACCGGCUAACUCUGUGCCAGCAGCCGCGGUAAUACAGAGGGUGCAGGCGUUAAUCGGAAUUACUGGGCGUAAAGCGCGCGUAGGUGGUUCGUUAAGUUGGAUGUGAAAUCCCCGGGCUCAACCUGGGAACUGCAUUCAAAACUGACGAGCUAGAGUAUGGUAGAGGGUGGUGGAAUUUCCUGUGUAGCGGUGAAAUGCGUAGAUAUAGGAAGGAACACCAGUGGCGAAGGCGACCACCUGGACUGAUACUGACACUGAGGUGCGAAGGCGUGGGGAGCAAAC